This 57-nucleotide transfer RNA is filed under the name Elysia timida. RNAcentral describes it as "tRNA-Leu". The record is from RNAcentral. Lineage: Eukaryota; Metazoa; Mollusca; Gastropoda; Plakobranchidae.
AACUUGGCAGAAUUAAUGCGUCUGAUUUAGAUUCAGUUUAUAGUAUAUUUACUAGUU